GUUUCUGUAGUAUAGUGGUUAUUACGUUUGCUUCACACGCAAAAGGUCCCUAGUCCGUAACUGGGAGGAAACA
This is a non-coding RNA of Danionella cerebrum, 73 nucleotides long. The record is from the annotation of a GenBank genome assembly. Lineage: Eukaryota; Metazoa; Chordata; Actinopteri; Cypriniformes; Danionidae.